This 490-nucleotide ribosomal RNA is filed under the name uncultured bacterium. RNAcentral describes it as "partial 16S ribosomal RNA". It matches the Rfam family "Bacterial small subunit ribosomal RNA", at positions 30 to 507 of the family's 1533-position model. The record is from RNAcentral.
UGAACGCUGGCGGUAGGCCUAACACAUGCACGUCGCACGGCAGCACAGUAAGAGCUUGCUCUUACGGGUGGCGAGUGGCGGACGGGUGAGGAAUACAUCGGAAUCUACUUUUUCGUGGGGGAUAACGUAGGGAAACUUACGCUAAUACCGCAUACGACCUACGGGUGAAAGCAGGGGAUCUUCGGACCUUGCGCGAUUGAAUGAGCCGAUGUCGGAUUAGCUAGUUGGCGGGGUAAAGGCCCACCAAGGCGACGAUCCGUAGCUGGUCUGAGAGGAUGAUCAGCCACACUGGAACUGAGACACGGUCCAGACUCCUACGGGAGGCAGCAGUGGGGAAUAUUGGACAAUGGGCGCAAGCCUGAUCCAGCCAUACCGCGUGGGUGAAGAAGGCCUUCGGGUUGUAAAGCCCUUUUGUUGGGAAAGAAAAGCAGCAGGUUAAUACCCCGCUGUUCUGACGGUACCCAAAGAAUAAGCACCGGCUAACUUCGUG